Molecule: ribosomal RNA, 482 nt
Filed under: uncultured bacterium
Lineage: Bacteria
Description: partial 16S ribosomal RNA
Rfam family: Bacterial small subunit ribosomal RNA
Source: RNAcentral
AUUGAACGCUGGCGGCAUGCUUUACACAUGCAAGUCGAACGGUAACAGGCCGCAAGGUGCUGACGAGUGGCGCACGGGUGAGUAAUGCAUCGGAACGUGCCCAGUCGUGGGGGAUAACUACUCGAAAGAGUAGCUAAUACCGCAUACGAUCUAUGGAUGAAAGCGGGGGACCGUAAGGCCUCGCGCGAUUGGAGCGACCGAUGUCAGAUUAGGUAGUUGGUGGGGUAAAGGCUCACCAAGCCAACGAUCUGUAGCUGGUCUGAGAGGACGACCAGCCACACUGGGACUGAGACACGGCCCAGACUCCUACGGGAGGCAGCAGUGGGGAAUUUUGGACAAUGGGCGCAAGCCUGAUCCAGCAAUGCCGCGUGCAGGAAGAAGGCCUUCGGGUUGUAAACUGCUUUUGUACGGAACGAAACGGCUCUGGUUAAUACCCGGGGCUAAUGACGGUACCGUAAGAAUAAGCACCGGCUAACUACGUG